AGUACAGACGAGUUUGAUCAUGGCUCAGACGACGCUGGCGGCAGGCCUAAUACAUGCAAGUCGAACGAUCCUUCGGGAUAGUGGCGCACGGGUGAGUAACACGUGGGAACAUACCCCUUGGGUGCGGAACAACGUCGGGAAACUGACGCUAAUACCGCAUAAUGACUCCGGUCCAAAGAUUUAUCGCCCAAGGAUUGGCCCGCGCUAGAUUAGGUUGUUGGUGAGGUAACGGCUCACCAAGCCUACGAUCUAUAGCUGGUCUGAGAGGAUGAUCAGCCACACUGGGACUGAGACACGGCCCAGACUCCUACGGGAGGCAGCAGUAAGGAAUAUUGGGACAAUGGGGGCAACCCUGAUCCAGCCAUGCCGCGUGAGUGAAGAAGGCCUUAGGGUUGUAAAGCUCUUUCAGGUGCGAAGAUAAUGACUGUAACACCAGAAGAAGCCCCGGCUAAAUUCGUG
This 459-nucleotide ribosomal RNA is filed under the name uncultured bacterium. Its description in RNAcentral is "bacterial SSU rRNA". It matches the Rfam family "Bacterial small subunit ribosomal RNA", at positions 1 to 507 of the family's 1533-position model. The record is from RNAcentral.